RNAcentral lists this ribosomal RNA (635 nucleotides) under Lycogala sp. RNAcentral's name for it is "partial small subunit ribosomal RNA". It matches the Rfam family "Eukaryotic small subunit ribosomal RNA", at positions 18 to 531 of the family's 1831-position model. The record is from RNAcentral. Lineage: Eukaryota; Evosea; Eumycetozoa; Liceales; Enteridiidae.
CAGAAUCAUAUGCUUGCUCCGAAGAGUAAGCCAUGCAUGCUAGGACACCAUGAUGGCCCUGGGCCGGCUCAGCCCGGCCCAGAGGCCGCAAGGAAUCUGCGAACGGCUCCGUACAACUGUUAUAAUCCUGCCGUGGGGCGAGACUCGGAUAAGUGGCGGUAAACCUGCACCUAAAACGUAUAGGGGCCCCCCCCAGCUCUGCAGGGGAGGGCCCCAGCUCUUUCAUACCUGCUAAAACAGGGAAACGAGGGCCUCCAAAUAACGGAAAGCAGCCAGCCGGCCUGCCCCCCGGGGCGGGCCGACUCGUCCCUGGGCACUCCCCAGGGGCCUGCUGUUCCAUACCAGGACGUGGCUGGAGACUAACCGAAGGUGCUGUAAGGCCCCGCAAGGGGCGGACCGCAGGGCACGAUGGGUUUCAGGCCUAUCAACUUGCUGGUAGGGUAUUGGCCUACCAGGGUUGUUACGGGUACAGAGGAUUAGGGUUUGAUCCUGGAGAGGUGGCCUGAGAAAUUGCCACCACUGCUACGGCAGGCAGCAGGCGCGCAACGUUCCCAAUGUUUUUACAUGAGGUACGUGAAGGGGCGUAACAACGCCUCGCCUAAGGCGAGGCGAUUGAAAUGGGGCGGGCUUAAACA